UACGGAGGGUGCAAGCGUUGUCCGGAUUUAUUGGGUUUAAAGGGUGCGUAGGCGGCCUUAUAAGUCAGUGGUGAAAGCCCACAGCUCAACUGUGGAACUGCCAUUGAUACUGUAAGGCUUGAGUACAGACGAGGUAGGCGGAAUUGAUGGCGUAGCGGUGAAAUGCAUAGAUACCAUCAAGAACACCGAUUGCGUAGGCAGCUUACUAGGCUGUAACUGACGCUGAGGCACGAAAGCGUGGGGAGCGAACAGG
Molecule: ribosomal RNA, 253 nt
Filed under: uncultured bacterium
Lineage: Bacteria
Description: partial 16S ribosomal RNA
Rfam family: Bacterial small subunit ribosomal RNA
Source: RNAcentral